AUGUAUUGCUUUCUUGAUCUGAAGAAGAUAUAUUCUACCAUCGACUAUCUGUACUGCAGAUUCGCAACAAAAGAGACUAUCUGCAUUGCAUACAUGGCCGCAUACAUGAAGCCCCUCCAGGCACCAGUCCUUCUGCUUCUUCUCGUAUGCCUUGCUAUUCAUUCACAAUGUGGAAGGACGGAAGACAUGGACAGCCUGAGGAUAAGCCUGCCGCACGGAUUAUGUGCGUACAAACCUUGCAAAGAUGGCUACUGCAACUGUUGUUACCUGACGGAGGACUGCUUUCUCACAAUGGAUGACUGCAAAAAGAAAUGCAAUGGUCCUCGUUCGCGCAUCACGGCGGGGUUGCCGACCCCCUCCAUUUCCGCCCGCACAUCAGAUUGA
Molecule: ribosomal RNA, 384 nt
Filed under: Triticum aestivum (bread wheat)
Lineage: Eukaryota; Viridiplantae; Streptophyta; Magnoliopsida; Poales; Poaceae
Description: partial small subunit ribosomal RNA
Source: RNAcentral